AUUGAACGCUGGCGGCAUGCCUUACACAUGCAAGUCGAACGGCAGCAUGGGUGCUUGCACCUGAUGGCGAGUGGCGAACGGGUGAGUAAUGCAUCGGAACGUACCCGGAAGUGGGGGAUAACGUAGCGAAAGUUACGCUAAUACCGCAUAUUCUGUGAGCAGGAAAGCGGGGGAUCACAAGACCUCGCGCUUCCGGAGCGGCCGAUGUCGGAUUAGCUAGUUGGCGGGGUAAAGGCCCACCAAGGCAACGAUCCGUAGCGGGUCUGAGAGGAUGAUCCGCCACACUGGGACUGAGACACGGCCCAGACUCCCACGGGAGGCAGCAGUAGGGAAUAUUGGGCAAUGGGCGGAAGCCUGACCCAGCCAUGCCGCGUGAAGGAAGACGGCCUUAUGGGUUGUAAACUUCUUUACUAUGCGACUAACUAGAUUUACGAGAUAAUUCUAUAGAAUGUAGCAUAGCAAAAAGCACCGGCUAACUCCGUG
RNAcentral lists this ribosomal RNA (483 nucleotides) under uncultured bacterium. Its description in RNAcentral is "bacterial SSU rRNA". It matches the Rfam family "Bacterial small subunit ribosomal RNA", at positions 30 to 507 of the family's 1533-position model. The record is from RNAcentral.